ACGUCGUCUGAAGAAUCGCCAUCGCAGCACACGCACAAGAAACGUCCUCAUACGAUGCUUUCUACCCUACGCUGUGGGAAAAGUCCCCGGAGACACAGAGUCCCCCUCGUGGGGCCGGCCCCCGUUCGCUAACGGAAAGCCCUGGCUGCAACCACGCCGAGGAAGGGCGGGGGAUCGGUCGGGCGAGUUCACCCUGCUUGCUUCUCUAUUCCUCUCGGAUGGGAAUGCAAGCUCGGCUCGCCCAGCUCUGUUGCGCUGCCCGACGUCCCGCGGUCUAUCGCGAAGACACGAGCCUUGGCCGCGCUUUUGUGGGCGGAGGGCGCGCACGUCGUUGCUCAUAGACAUAGUUAUGCGAUUGUCGGCUUUCGCGGUUCAUUCUUGUGGAUCGCGGCCGUCAUCUCAAUGGGGCUUACUCUCAUUCGACG
RNAcentral lists this RNase MRP RNA (425 nucleotides) under Coniophora puteana RWD-64-598 SS2. Its description in RNAcentral is "RNase MRP". It matches the Rfam family "RNase MRP". Rfam says of the family: RNase MRP is an enzymatically active ribonucleoprotein with two distinct roles in eukaryotes. In mitochondria it plays a direct role in the initiation of mitochondrial DNA replication. The record is from Rfam by way of RNAcentral. Lineage: Eukaryota; Fungi; Basidiomycota; Agaricomycetes; Boletales; Coniophoraceae.